RNAcentral lists this ribosomal RNA (401 nucleotides) under uncultured bacterium UPA D3. RNAcentral's name for it is "bacterial SSU rRNA". It matches the Rfam family "Bacterial small subunit ribosomal RNA", at positions 29 to 439 of the family's 1533-position model. The record is from RNAcentral.
AAUGAACGCUGGCGGAAUGCUUAACACAUGCAAGUCGUGCGGUAACACUUCGGGUGACGAGCGGCGGACGGGUGCGUAACGCGUGAGAAUCUACCUUUUAGUGGGGGACAACUCGGGGAAACUCGAGCUAAUACCGCAUAUAUCCUACGGGACAAAGCAGGGGACCUUCGGGCCUUGCGCUAAAAGAUGAGCUCGCGUGAGAUUAGCUUGUUGGUGAGGUAAAGGCUCACCAAGGCAACGAUCUCUAGCUGGUCUGAGAGGAUGAUCAGCCACACUGGGACUGAGACACGGCCCAGACUCCUACGGGAGGCAGCAGUGGGGAAUAUUGGACAAUGGGGGCAACCCUGAUCCAGCAAUUCCGCGUGUGUGAAGAAGGCCUGCGGGUUGUAAAGCACUUUCAG